ACAUGCAGUCGAGGGGUAACAGGGAAAGCUUGCUUUUUUGCUGACGACCGGCGAACGGGUGCGUAACGCGUAUAGAAUCUGCCUUGUACAGGAGGAUAGCCUUUAGAAAUGAAGAUUAAUACUCCAUAAUGUUGAGAGAUGGCAUCAUCUUUUAAUUAAAGAUUUAUCGGUACAAGAUGACUAUGCGUCCUAUUAGCUAGAUGGUAAGGUAACGGCUUACCAUGGCAACGAUAGGUAGGGGGUCUGAGAGGAUUAUCCCCCACACUGGUACUGAGACACGGACCAGACUCCUACGGGAGGCAGCAGUGAGGAAUAUUGGUCAAUGGAGGCAACUCUGAACCAGCCAUGCCGCGUGCAGGAAGACUGCCCUAUGGGUUGUAAACUGCUUUUAUACAGGAAGAAACUUAGUUACGUGUAACUAACUGACGGUACUGUAAGAAUAAGCACCGGCUAACUCCGUGCCAGCAGCCGCGGUAAUACGGAGGGUGCAAGCGUUAUCCGGAAUCAUUGGGUUUAAAGGGUCCGCAGGCGGUCAAUUAAGUCAGAGGUGAAAUCCCAUAGCUUAACUAUGGAACUGCCUUUGAUACUGGUUGACUUGAGUUAUACGGAAGUAGAUAGAAUAAGUAGUGU
RNAcentral lists this ribosomal RNA (630 nucleotides) under Tenacibaculum sp. P15. RNAcentral describes it as "bacterial SSU rRNA". It matches the Rfam family "Bacterial small subunit ribosomal RNA", at positions 53 to 676 of the family's 1533-position model. Lineage: Bacteria; Pseudomonadati; Bacteroidota; Flavobacteriia; Flavobacteriales; Flavobacteriaceae. The record is from RNAcentral.